UUUUUUUUUUACAAUGUUGAUAGUGUUAAAAUACACUGCACCAAAGUAUCUCGCUGGUAAGUAUUUUUACCACCUGAACUUUUCUUACAGGAAAUGAUUUCCCAGUUUCAUCUGCUAUUCCUUUUCAAGGAUUUCUUAUAUAAGAGUGUAUGUCAGGUUAAUUUUUCUGGCUUCAUUUCAUGUAGACCAAGGUCAUGAGUUUAAUUUCUUUGCAGGCAGUUCAGUCUUUUAAAAAGGAACUAAAUUUGGUCCCAAACAGACCUGAUUUUCUAUCUUGACUCCUCCACCCCCAUCCCAACCCCACCCCACCCUUUUCCCAGGUGCCCUGUUCUGUCUGGGCCCAAAACCCAUCCAAUCAGAUUUACUGUAAAACAUAAUUCUCCCUAUAAACCCCUAAAAACUAAAAUUCACCCAGUAUUAUGGGUAUACUUUCUUCUGGGUCAAGUUAAGGCAUUUAGACAGAUUUCUUGAUUUUUAUGAGCCUCAGUUGCCUCAUCUCUAAAGAUUUUUUUAAAACAGGGUCCUUGUGACUCCUAAGUAUGUCAAACAUCAAGGGUAGUGUCUGGCACUUACUAACUGCUGAACAAAUGUUAACACUUUCCUUUCCUGUGCCUGAUAUUUUUUAGCAUCUAUGGAACAAAUAGAUGACGAAUUCAUAAAUUGCUGGCAUAAUCUUGGUAGGAAUCAAUCACACUCCAUUCAGAAUUGUCUCCUCCCCCAAAUACAGCUCUUAUAUCCCAAGUGUAUUAUUUUCUAUGAGUCAAAAUUUAAAAAAUAGUACAUAUUUAAAAUGAUUUAUGUGUAUUUAAGGAAAAGCAUUUAAUCUGCCCCAUAAGCUUUAUAUGACUAUAAUAAAAAAUAGUGGAAGGUUUUUUUCACUAAAAGUAUUCUAUAAAUCAGGAUAAUAAUACCUACCUCAUAGAUUUUUUGCUAAAAAUAAAUAGGUUAAUAAAUGUAAAGCAAUUAGUACAGUGUAGUACACAAAACUAAGUCCUUAAUAACAGGUAACUAUUACUAUGUUUAAAAGGGCUUUGGGUUUAUUUAUUUAGGAAGUACACCAAAUUAUAGAACAUGUAACAGUUUGAAAAACAACAGAGAUUGUAAGCCUGAGAGAUAGCGACAGUGUGAGAUGCAGAGAGAAAGAGUAAGAGAAAAGAAAGUUUCCAUUUUAACUAUAUAGAAUAGGAACUAUUCACUCCUGGCCUUUGCUCCAGCUAGCUGAAUGACUUUGGGCCAUUUGAGCCUCCUCUCUUCCCCCUAACCCUUAGGAUGCUUCAUUUCAGCAUUCACAAAACAUUUGCUGAGCGCAGUCCUAAACAUGGUGAGCUUUAAUAUGAUGGCAGAUAUAAAAGUGAUCUGUACAUUCCAAAACACUAUCCAAACAAAUCCAGGUUCCUGUGUUUUGUGAGACUUGGAUAAAAUGGGCUCCCAUUUUGUCUGCCUGACAGAGUUUGGAUUUAAUGCUCUGAUCCUGAGAAGCCUAAGGACACUAAAAACAUAUCAAACCUGCUGCAUGCAUCCCUAUGUUCAUUGCAGCACUUAUUCACAAUAACCAACACAUGGAAACAACCUAAAUGUCCAUAGACAGAUGAAUGUAUUAAGAAGAUGUGGUACAUAUACACAAAAUACUACUCAGCCAUAAAAAGAAGGAAAUAAUGCCAUUUGCAGCAACAUGGAUGCAACUAGAGAUUCUCAUACUAAGUCAGAAAGGGAAGGAUAAACAUUAUAUAUUUCUUAUAUGUAGAAUCUAAAAUAUGUCACAAAUGAUCCUAUCUAAGAACAGAAAUAGGCUCACAGACAUGGAGAACAGAACUGUGAUUGCCAAGGAAGAGGGAGGGAAUGGAAUGGACUGGUAGUUUGGAGUUAGUAGAUGCAAACCAUUAAAUUUAGAAUGGAUAGACAAUAAGGUCCUAGGGAACUAUAUCUAAUCUCCUGGAAUAUACCAUGUAUAGCACAGGGAACUAUAUGUAAUCUCCUGGGAUAGACCAUGAUGGAAAAUAAUAUUUAAAAAAGAAUGUAUUUGUAAGACUGAAUCACUUUGUGUACAGCAGAAACUGGCAAAACAUCAUAAAUCAGCUAUAUUUCAAUUAAGAAAGAGAGAGAAAACAGGUCUUUCCUUAGUGCCUAGCACAGAACCAGGCAUGGAAAGGUUCUCAGGUGGAUGUAGGAUAAUUGGUGAGUCAUUAUCGUCAACCUCAUUCACUUUUAUAUACUUACUAAAUCCUAAAUCAUGCAAAGACCCCCAUUCUCCACUAGCAGUGCCAGAGCAAUGCCAUUUAAAUGUAUAUACAUACAUUAUAUCCUGGUGAAUAAACUGCAAGGAUGUUGGUGGUUAAAAGUAGAGCUGCAGAGGGCAGCCUGACCCAGAGAACACUUUAUAGAAGGAAACACAGAGUUAAAGUAUGCGCCAAUCUUUAUUAUGCUAUAUUGAACAAAUACGCUAUAUCAGAAAAAAUCUGGAUAAGCUUCCUUCCUAGAACUGAGCUAAGAUACAAGUGCAAAACCUCAUGUGACACAAUGAUGUUGGCAGAAGUGAAAAGACUGGCUUUUCUUGUGUUUACUGUCCUCUUUUACUAAAUGUGACACACUUCUUUACUCAGGACUCAUUUAUUAACUGGCUCAUCUCUCUAAAAUGAAAAUCCAUUCAAAGUAGUUUUACUCUAAAAUACAGUCCCUCCUAUGAACCACUAAAUCCCAAAUUCGGCCCAUGUGAUCAAUCAACAUAUAUUUUCUUUUUUUUUUUUUUUUUUUUUUCUCUACUGAAAGAAAUUCAUGUCACAGUUACGUAGCUGUUUCACAAAGACUGAACCUGUCAAUGCCUUAUAAAUGGUAUCAUUUCCUGGAUGUUUCUUUAGAAGUUCCCACUGUGGAGCAACAGAUCGCCGAUGUCUUGGGAGCACUGGGAUGCAGGUUUGAUCCCUACCCUAGCACAGUGGUUAAGGACACAGCAUUGCAGCAGCUGUGGCUUAGGUCACAACUGUGGCUCUGAUCUGAUCCCUAGCCCAGGAACUCCAUAUGCCAGCAGGGGAGCCAAAAAAUAAAAAAAUAGUGUAUCUUUAUAUUUGCUUGUCUCCCCUUCCCCAGAAUAAAGCAGGACAUUAUCCUUAGAGAUUUAUUAGCCAGACCUUCCUUCUGCAAUAAAGCAAUUGUGGUCCCUACGCCCCUCAGCAAUGCAUUCGAAUUGGAACAUAAUUACCACUCCAACUAAAACCACUCUGGAGAACACAAACACUAGUUGGCUUCCAGAUCAGACUUCUGAAAAGAACUGAAUUAUACAGUAUAAAUACAAUGCUAACAUUAUCGACUAUAUGGAGGAGAAGUGCAUGCAAAAAGAAGUUUGGGUCCUUCCCAAUAUAAAGUUUUCAAUUAGAUCCACCCCCUCUUCAUCUUUUGAAAUAAAGAUGCUGCAAAGAGCUUGGGAAAAACAUCCUCCAAUAAAUUCUCUGUGUGUUAUGGGAGUUAGGAAUAAAAGGAAAUCUUGCUCCUAUCCACAAGGACUUCACAACCAAGAAGGAAGAACAGAGCAUGUAACAGGAGUAGUCUUCCAGGUCUGGCUCCUUAAUCACUGCCCUGAGAAGAUACCAAACUUGAGAAGCUAUAGUUCCCUGAAUUUAACACCCCAGAUUUUAAGAAAAAAAAAUCAAGAUUUGAUAGCUUGAAGUACUGCCUGUUAAUAAACUGUUUUAAAGGCUUUAAAUGGAACAGCUCUAAAUAACCUUCUGGUCAGGACUAGGAAUACAAGGUACAAAUCACUUGACAGCUGAUGCACUAUAAAGGGAGUGUUUGAAAAUGCUCUUCUCUUGGGGAUUUUUAAAGACUAUGAUAAACCAAAACCUUUCCAGGGUGCUUUAAGUGCAAUUCUCUCCAGAGGAGGAGAGAUGAGAUGGCAUCUCAAGCUUCCUUACAAUCCUAUAAUUCUGUCAUGCUAAAAUGCUUACAGCGCUGGGGAGCCAUGCUAUUUUAUGUUACUCAAUUUAAAUAUGAUUGAAAAAAGAAAUGUUCAACAAUAGAAAGUAGAAAAUACCAAGCACCAUUUGAAAUGAAGUUGAGGGCAGAUGAUAAGACAUGGAUUAUUUAGGCAGUGUAUGUUCUCUAUUGAGAAGUAACUUUCUAACCAAAAAUAAAUGAAUUUUAUAACACAGUGAAAGAGUCCUGGCUUUGUUCAAUUUGCUUUGAGUGGAAUCUUAAUACCUCUGGCCAAUCUGGUUCCACAAAGAUGAACAAAACUCACAUGGUGGUGAUAAGGGGAUUUUAGAGAUCACCUAGUGGUGAGAGGGCAGCAAACUUUUCAUGUAGAGGACCAGAUAGUGAACAUUUUCGACUUUGUGAUGGUCACUGAGGCAAAUGCUCAGCUCGGCUGUUGAAGUGCAAAAACAGCCAUAGACAGUAUGUAAAUGAAGAGGGGGUACUGUGUUCCAAUAAAAAUUUAUUUAUGGACACUGAAAUUAGAACCUCAUGUAAUUUUUACAUAAAAUAAUAAUACAAAUAAUAGGAAAUAGUCUUAUUUUUACUGUUUUAACCAUGAAAAAUGUGAAAAAAAAAUUCUUAGCCUGCAAACCAUAAAAACAACAGGAAGUGGACUUGACUUUUUUACUCCAUUGGUCUUAAAACUACCUUUUUUUUCCUUUUCUUUUAAUGGCCACACCCACAGCAUAUGGAGGUUCCUGGGCUAGGCUGGGGAUCAAACCCACACCUCCAUAGCAACCUGAGCCCCUGUAGUCAGAUGCUUAACCCACUGCACCACAGUGGGAACUCUAAACUACCCUUUUAGUGGGAGAUUCCUCUCUUCAAAUGAAAAUAUACAGAUAGAGCAAAAAAGAGCAGGAUUAUAUUAACUUCAGGGCAUUAACCUAGAGUAUUUGCUGCUCCCAGACGCCUACCUAUACUUCCCUGCUUUGCCCCAGAGGUAAGACUAAAAUUCCUCAGAGCAUAAGCAGAAUCCAUGACUUUAAUUCAAGCCACUCAAAUUCCUCCUGAAGGACCAGAGGUGAACAAAGAUGAAAUAACUGUUCUAAAGCAUGCAAGUAGUUUUAAGUGAACAGGAGCCAGAACAUGACUUUCUUCUUGUGUCCUAGUUUUAGCUUCCCAACAACACAGCAGCACAACCCUUUAGGGGUAAAAUCCAAGUGGAAGUUACAUGUAAUGGCCAAAUAAAAGUAUAAAUUGCUUGGUUAUCUGGUAGGAAAUGCUUUUCUCAUGGUCCUUCAUGUCCAAGACACAAGAUGGAUUUGUGAUCGCGAUUAGCGGGUAUUCACCAAUGAGAGAGACAUUAAACCAGAUUCUCCCUCAUGUCUAAUUGCUCCCUGCUAGCAAAUUGGGCACUUAUAUGCAGGAUGUGGAGGUGCCCUCUCCCCAUCAGGAUGAUGCUGCCUCCAUCUAUCCUUCUACCAUUAUCCUGGAGUGACUCAAUACCAGAUCACCACUAGCGAGCCCUACUCUUCUUCCAAUAAUGGCAUAUCUGACUUUGAGGACAAAACUGCUUAGGACAACAUUUCCCAAAGUACCUCCCAAAUAACAUGAAUGUCGUUCAGCCAGACAUGCAAAAAAAGUGUUCCCAGAGCAAAAAGAAAAAAAAUGUUUCCUGGAUCAAACUAGUGUAUACUAUUCCCCUCUUAGUAAUCACAACAAACAUUAGCAGAUUAAAGGAUCUGAGAAGCCUCCUAGGAAAUAAUCCUAUUUAAUGUUAUUUAACCAGCAUUUCCCCAAUGUAUAUUAAAAUGGAACUUAUUUUAUCCUUCUUCUGUUCUAUGUUCUUUUUCUAGACCUCCAUUUGCAGUGGAGGGGAAAGGAACUAGAAGCUAGAUUUACACUCAAGUAAACAACUUGAGUAGUUUUGUCAUACUCAGAAGUUUGUCAGUUUAGUCAACAUAUCUAGGUUGAGUGCUCACUGUGUGUCAGGUACUGCUCCAGGCCUUUGCAAUACUGUGGAACUAGGUAGACAUAUUGUCUGCUCUUGUAGAGUUUAUAUCAUAGUUAGGGAGUCAUCAUUAACAUAAAUAAAUCCAUCCAUCCCACC
This 6016-nucleotide long non-coding RNA is filed under the name Sus scrofa (pig). RNAcentral describes it as "lncRNA (ENSSSCG00060065293.1)". The record is from RNAcentral. Lineage: Eukaryota; Metazoa; Chordata; Mammalia; Artiodactyla; Suidae.